GACCAAUACAAACAUAAGCUCCUUUUGAUGCCAACAGGCAGAGCAGUUUAAUAAUUAGUCUCCCAACUCAACCCAUUUCAAAUACACAAUGAAGCAAAAAAAGAACUGAAGCUGCUCAAAUUCUCUACUGAAGCAUGGAUUGAAUUGGGACUGGGAAUGAAGGUGAGAAGAGGUUAAAAGAACUGAGAACUACAUAAUGAAUUGCAGAGAGGAGUGUGGUGGAGAAUUAUAGUGUGCCUUGCUUCCAGAGACUAAAUCCCAGUGAAAACUUCUGAGGAGACAUGGCAAAUAGUAGAGGGAGGAAGAAGUCAUAAACAGCUUGCUGGAUGAGGAUGCAUCCAAACCAACCACGAUAUUUUCCAUUUCCAAACUCCUCAUAUUCAUGCACUCCUGGCACAAAUAGAAGUGACUCUGUUGGUGUGUUUGUGAGUGUCUCCCAAUCCAGAUUAACUUGGGGAGUGUUGCUAUCUUAAUAAUAACUACGUCUUCUGAUCCAGAAACAAG
This 504-nucleotide long non-coding RNA is filed under the name Homo sapiens (human). RNAcentral describes it as "HSALNT0172955". Lineage: Eukaryota; Metazoa; Chordata; Mammalia; Primates; Hominidae. The record is from RNAcentral.